GUCGAGAAUCUUUCGCAAUGGGGGAAACCCUGACGAAGCGACGCCGCGUGCAGGAUGAAGGCCUUCGGGUCGUAAACUGCUGUCACUUGGGACGAAUGGUAUCGGUAUUAACACCACCGGUACUUGACGGUACCGAGAGAGGAAGCCACGGCUAACUCUGUGCCAGCAGCCGCGGUAAGACAGAGGUGGCUAGCGUUGUUCGGAUUCAUUGGGUGUAAAGGGUGCGUAGGCGGUUUGGAAAGUCAGAUGUGAAAGCCCACAGCUUAACUGUGGAAUUGCAUCUGAAACUUCCAGACUCGAGUGCGAGAGAGGUGAAGGGAAUUCCCGGUGUAAGGGUGAAAUCUGCAGAGAUCGGGAGGAACACCUGUGGCGAAGGCGCUUCACUGGCUCGCAACUGACGCUGAGUGCACGAAGGCGUGGGGAGCAAACGGGAUUAGAAACCCUUGUAGUCC
RNAcentral lists this ribosomal RNA (452 nucleotides) under uncultured bacterium. RNAcentral describes it as "bacterial SSU rRNA". It matches the Rfam family "Bacterial small subunit ribosomal RNA", at positions 354 to 796 of the family's 1533-position model. The record is from RNAcentral.